Molecule: ribosomal RNA, 426 nt
Filed under: uncultured Paenibacillaceae bacterium
Lineage: Bacteria; Bacillati; Bacillota; Bacilli; Caryophanales; Paenibacillaceae
Also listed under: 1 other name
Description: partial 16S ribosomal RNA
Rfam family: Bacterial small subunit ribosomal RNA
Source: RNAcentral
UAGGGAAUCUUCGGCAAUGGACGGAAGUCUGACCGAGCAACGCCGCGUGAGUGAGGAAGGUUUUCGGAUCGUAAAGCUCUGUUGCCAGGGAAGAAGGGUAAGGAGAGUGACUGCUCUUUACUUGACGGUACCUGAGAAGAAAGCCCCGGCUAACUACGUGCCAGCAGCCGCGGUAAUACGUAGGGGGCAAGCGUUGUCCGGAAUUAUUGGGCGUAAAGCGCGCGCAGGCGGUUCUUUAAGUCUGGUGUAUAAGCCCGUGGCUCAACCACGGGACGCACUGGAAACUGGGGGGCUGGAGUGCAGGAGAGGAAAGUGGAAUUCCACGUGUAGCGGUGAAAUGCGUAGAGAUGUGGAGGAACACCAGUGGCGAAGGCGACUUUCUGGCCUGUAACUGACGCUGAGGCGCGAAAGCGUGGGGAGCAAACA